UACGUAUGGUGCAAGCGUUAUCCGGAUUUACUGGGUGUAAAGGGGGCGUAGACGGCUGUGUAAGUCUGAAGUGAAAGCCCGGGGCUCAACCCCGGGACUGCUUUGGAAACUAUGCAGCUAGAGUGUCGGAGAGGUAAGUGGAAUUCCCAGUGUAGCGGUGAAAUGCGUAGAUAUUGGGAGGAACACCAGUGGCGAAGGCGGCUUACUGGACGAUGACUGACGUUGAGGCUCGAAAGCGUGGGGAGCAAACAGG
RNAcentral lists this ribosomal RNA (253 nucleotides) under Coprococcus comes ATCC 27758. Its description in RNAcentral is "partial 16S ribosomal RNA". It matches the Rfam family "Bacterial small subunit ribosomal RNA", at positions 524 to 776 of the family's 1533-position model. The record is from RNAcentral. Lineage: Bacteria; Bacillati; Bacillota; Clostridia; Lachnospirales; Lachnospiraceae.